Molecule: ribosomal RNA, 506 nt
Filed under: uncultured bacterium
Lineage: Bacteria
Description: partial 16S ribosomal RNA
Rfam family: Bacterial small subunit ribosomal RNA
Source: RNAcentral
AUUGAACGCUGGCGGCAGGCCUAACACAUGCAAGUCGAACGGUAACAGGAAACAGCUUGCUGUUUCGCUGACGAGUGGCGGACGGGUGAGUAACGUCUGGGAAACUGCCUGAUGGAGGGGGAUAACUACUGGAAACGGUAGCUAAUACCGCAUGACGUCGCAAGACCAAAGAGGGGGACCUUCGGGCCUCUUGCCAUCGGAUGUGCCCAGAUGGGAUUAGCUAGUAGGUGGGGUAACGGCUCACUUAGGCGACGAUCCCUAGCUGGUCUGAGAGGAUGACCAGCCACACUGGAACUGAGACACGGUCCAGACUCCUACGGGAGGCAGCAGUGGGGAAUAUUGCACAAUGGGCGCAAGCCUGAUGCAGCCAUGCCGCGUGUAUGAAGAAGGCCUUCGGGUUGUAAAGUACUUUCAGCGGGGAGGAAGGGAGUAAAGUUAAUACCUUUGCUCAUUGACGUUACCCGCAGAAGAAGCACCGGCUAACUCCGUGCCAGCAGCCGCCGUAA